CUCGUUAUUGUUAUCCUUAUUUUUUUUUUCAAUCAAGAAUGUAUUAUAUGCAUAAUUAUGCACAUUAGCUUUGUCAAUGACAUCCGUAAAUUAAUAAUGUACCAGCAACAGGAUUGAUCAUGUCCCAAGCAACACCUGCUCGCUCCACUUAAGUGCAAGGAUCGUUCUUAAAAAAAAAAUAAGGAUAACAAUAACGAGGACUGGUCCAGAAUUUCCAAAAUAGAUCCUAGAACAUGUGUUAACAAUAGACAAAUAAUACAUCCAUGCGAGAAAUUAUUAAAUAAAUUAGUUCCCAUUCCCGCCAAAGAGGUAACCAAGAGAAGAUCCACCACCAGGGGCAGCAUGAACUUUGGUGG
Molecule: unclassified non-coding RNA, 356 nt
Filed under: Hevea brasiliensis (rubber tree)
Lineage: Eukaryota; Viridiplantae; Streptophyta; Magnoliopsida; Malpighiales; Euphorbiaceae
Source: RNAcentral